UACAGAGGAGAGAGGAGGAGCUGCUCAAAGAACAGGAGGAUGAUCACAGCAGGGAUGUGCAGUCAGAGGAUGAGUCCUUCUACCUGUCUACAGCUGGUCUGAGAUCAGCCUUUAAUACUGAAGAGGAGAGGUGGAAGGCUGAGCUGCAGAGAGAGCACCUGAGACAAGAGGAAGACCGGCUGAAGGCUCGUCUGCGUCACCGUUUGUGGAACCAGCAGGAGAACCUGAGACAACUGGAGACCGAGGAGGGUUUACUGGGACUGAAACAGAGACUGGACCAGCUGGACUCGCUGCUCACACACACACACACCGAGGUCAGAGACUGUGCAGUGUGUUCACAGGUGAAACUGACCGAUCCUAAACGUU
Long non-coding RNA from Toxotes jaculatrix (banded archerfish), 366 nucleotides. RefSeq lists it as uncharacterized. The transcript has 4 exons. NCBI's taxonomy places the organism in Eukaryota, Metazoa, Chordata, Actinopteri, Toxotidae. The record is from RefSeq and is a predicted model, not a curated record.